UACGAAGGGGGCUAGCGUUGCUCGGAAUCACUGGGCGUAAAGGGUGCGUAGGCGGGUCUUAAGUUCAGGGGUGAAAUCCUGGAGCUCAACUCCAGAACUGCCUUUGAUACUGAAGAUCUUGAGUUCGGGAGAGGUGAGUGGAACUGCGAGUGUAGAGGUGAAAUUCGUAGAUAUUCGCAAGAACACCAGUGGCGAAGGCGGCUCACUGGCCCGAUACUGACGCUGAGGCGCGAAAGCGUGGGGAGCAAACAGG
RNAcentral lists this ribosomal RNA (253 nucleotides) under uncultured bacterium. Its description in RNAcentral is "partial 16S ribosomal RNA". It matches the Rfam family "Bacterial small subunit ribosomal RNA", at positions 524 to 776 of the family's 1533-position model. The record is from RNAcentral.